Molecule: ribosomal RNA, 395 nt
Filed under: uncultured Photobacterium sp.
Lineage: Bacteria; Pseudomonadati; Pseudomonadota; Gammaproteobacteria; Vibrionales; Vibrionaceae
Description: bacterial SSU rRNA
Rfam family: Bacterial small subunit ribosomal RNA
Source: RNAcentral
CGAGCGGCAGCGACUUAACUGAACCUUCGGGGAACGUUAAGGGCGGCGAGCGGCGGACGGGUGAGUAAUGCCUGGGAAUAUGCCCUGAUGUGGGGGAUAACUUGGAAACGAUAGCUAACACCGCAUAAUCUCUUCGGAGCAAAGAGGGGGACCUUCGGGCCUCUCGCGUCAGGAUUAGCCCAGGUGGGAUUAGCUUGUUGGUGAGGUAAUGGCUCACCAAGGCAACGAUCCCUAGCUGGUCUGAGAGGAUGAUCAGCCACACUGGAACUGAGACACGGUCCAGACUCCUACGGAGGCAGCAGUGGGGAAUAUUGCACAAUGGGGGAAACCCUGAUGCAGCCAUGCCGCGUGUGUGAAGAAGCUUCGGGUUGUAAAGCACUUUCAGUAGGGAGGAA